UGUAGAAUGAGGAAGCCAGUAGAGAC
This 26-nucleotide non-coding RNA is filed under the name Mus musculus (house mouse). Lineage: Eukaryota; Metazoa; Chordata; Mammalia; Rodentia; Muridae. The record is from RNAcentral.